RNAcentral lists this ribosomal RNA (784 nucleotides) under uncultured bacterium. RNAcentral describes it as "bacterial SSU rRNA". It matches the Rfam family "Bacterial small subunit ribosomal RNA", at positions 17 to 796 of the family's 1533-position model. The record is from RNAcentral.
UCCUGGCUCAGGAUGAACGCUAGCGGCAGGCUUAAUACAUGCAAGUCGAGGGGCAGCACAGGUAGCAAUACUGGGUGGCGACCGGCAAACGGGUGCGGAACGCGUACACAACCUUCCUUUAAGCGGGGAAUAGCCCAGAGAAAUUUGGAUUAAUACCCCAUAGUAUUUUGGUUAGGCAUCUAACUAUCAUUAAAGAUUUAUCACUUAAAGAUGGGUGUGCGGCUGAUUAGGUAGUUGGCGGGGUAACGGCCCACCAAGCCUUCGAUCAGUAACUGGUGUGAGAGCACGACCAGUCACACGGGCACUGAGACACGGGCCCGACUCCUACGGGAGGCAGCAGUAAGGAAUAUUGGUCAAUGGACGCAAGUCUGAACCAGCCAUGCCGCGUGGAGGAUGAAGGCCCUCUGGGUUGUAAACUUCUUUUAUCUGGGACGAAAAAAGGCUUUCCUAAGUCACUUGACGGUACCAGAGGAAUAAGCACCGGCUAACUCCGUGCCAGCAGCCGCGGUAAUACGGAGGGUGCAAGCGUUAUCCGGAUUCACUGGGUUUAAAGGGUGCGUAGGUGGGUUGGUAAGUCAGUGGUGAAAUCUCCGAGCUUAACUUGGAAACUGCCAUUGAUACUAUCAGUCUUGAAUAUUGUGGAGGUCAGCGGAAUAUGUCAUGUAGCGGUGAAAUGCUUAGAUAUGACAUAGAACACCAAUUGCGAAGGCAGCUGGCUACGCAUAUAUUGACACUGAGGCACGAAAGCGUGGGGAUCAAACAGGAUUAGAUACCCUGGUAGUCC